Alexandromys fortis (reed vole) is the source of this 7991-nucleotide long non-coding RNA. RefSeq lists it as uncharacterized. NCBI's taxonomy places the organism in Eukaryota, Metazoa, Chordata, Mammalia, Rodentia, Cricetidae. The transcript is spliced from 2 exons. The record is from RefSeq and is a predicted model, not a curated record.
UUUUUUUUUUUUUUUUUUUGGAGUCCUGUGUGUUACAUGAAGCCUGGGUAGGGAAUGGCUUCCAGUGUUUCUUUACCAAUGGGCUCUCUGGCGGCUUCAGUCUUUAUGCAGCUUUCUGAAGUCCAUCCUUACUCUCCUGCCACAGAAAGACUUGGGGUCUGCCUCUCCUGGCUUUUGGGGAUCCCAAGAGGUUAUACUGCUUGCAGGCACCUCUGUGGGCCCUUGCCCAUUUCUGCCAUGGGACUUCUCGUUCUUUAAUGAAUCUCUCUCUCUCUCUCUCCAUUGUUGUUUAGCCUGGUGACCAGGGCCUGCUAUGCCAUGUCUGCUGCCCACCUCAGGAGCCUCAUUUCUCCUCAAAGAGCAUAUGAGGCAACACCAUAGCCAGCCAGCUUUCCCUCUGGAGGGGCAUUACUACUAUGCUAGAAUGGGGGCUUUCUGGCUUCUGCAAUCUCCCACAGUUCUACCUGACACCUCCCUGCCUGCACCUCUGUCUUAGUCCCUGCCUGCACCCCUGCCUGCACCCCUGCCUGCACCAGGCACUUCCCACCCACUGCUCAGUCCCUUUGGAGAAUGCCUGCCCCAGCCCUCCUGCACACAACACUGAUUCUUCACCUUCAAAGCAUUCUUCCUGCCUCCUCCUCCAGGCAGUCAGAUCUACCAGGGUAGAUCCCCUAGCAACGGCAACACACGUGUGUCUCUAGUCUGUCCCCAGAACAGAGGCUUCUUGCAGAUCUCAGGUCUUAUUCUCCAUUUCUCCAGCCGUGCACCCAACAUGGUCACAGACUAAUGGACCUAGGAUGCAAAACUUGACUAAGAUGACAAGCAGCCCUUCUCCCACCCCCUCUCCCACGAGAGGCUGUGCUGAAGAACAACAGGUGAAGAAGCUCUUGCCUGGUUGGCCCAGAAAAACCCCACUAGCCCCAGCCCAGCUUUUUGCCCUCCCCUCCCCCAACUCCAUUUCUUAAGCAGGGAAGGGACAGGUGGCGGAAAGCUGCUUGGCGGGAGGUUGGUUUCUAUUGAGAAAUGUCCCUCAGCUUCUCAGCUAUUUCCAUAAACCAAUUAUCACUGAUCAUCUCAGGAGAUUGAGGCCCUGCUUGUCACCAAUCCAGCCGGGCUGUGAAGGGGAGGGUAGCUGGAUGGCUGUGUUGCUCCAAGACCCUUGCCCCAUCACCCUGUUGCCAUAGGAACAUGCAAGGGAGGGGAGUCUAGGGGACAUGAGCCUGGAUAGGAGUGUGAAGCGCUGAGAACAUCCUGGUUCCUCUGACCCACCAGCACAGCAUGCAGUGUAAAAAGUGGGAGGCAUGCAUCCCUGCUUCCUUUUUCAUGACGGGAGCAGGGUCUGUGCCAGGCUCCAGCCUGGUCCCAGAGCUCCAGGCUGAGCUGCCAGCAGCUCCGAGUGGUGCUAAUGAGAUGCAAAUGAAAAGAAGAAGGGAGGGCUUCUGGGAAUGAAGGCCCAGCUGCCAGGACCUAGAGCUGGCUUUCAGUGCUAACCCCCAGCCCCAGGUAGGACUCCCACAGGGAGGAACAAGAACUCCCAGGUCUCUAGAGUUGGGCCCUAGACCCCAGGAAGAGUUUGUCGUCUUCCCAGAAAUGAUUACAAUAUAGAACAACAAAGUAUGCAAUAAGAAAGUCCACUAAAAUCUUUUCUCAUAUGGAUAUUUCAAUGUGUGUGUUUUUUUAAUUAUAAACAUUUGAAUGUAAAAUCUGAAACUGUUAAGAUCUACAAGUAAACAGCUUCCCCUAGGAUCCUUACAUUGGUCUUGGCAAUGAUUUUUUUUUAAUUUGACAUCAAAAGUAUAAGCAAUGAAAGCAAAAUAAACAAGUGGGUGACAAGAAGUUUAAAGGCUCCGUGCAGCAAAGCAAAACCUCCACUGACUUGAAGAAACAGAAUGGGCUAAAACACGUGCACACCACACAUCUAACAAGGAGCCAACCCCCAGAGCGUAUGGAGAGCUACACCCUCCAGUACCAGAAAAACCAACUGGAUUUUGAAAAAGGGCCCUGAUAAGGCAGCACACACUUUUGAUCCCAGAUACAAAGAGGCAGAGGCCAGUAGAUCUCAGGAAGUUCAGGACAGCCUGGUCUAUAAAAUGAGCUCCAGAGCAGCCAGGGACACAAAAUGAGGCCCCGUCUCAAAACAACAACAACAAGGAAAACCAAAGCAAUAAGAGGCAGAGGAGCCUAGAAGUAUAGCUCCAAGAUAGAGUGCUUGCCUAACAUAUACCACACCCUGUGUUUGAUCCCCGGCCAAACCUAGCUUGUCAGCACUUGGCCACUGGGGAAGAUCAGAAGUUCAAGGCUAUUAUCCUUGGCUCUGCAGUGAACUCAAAACUAGCCCACACUGCACAAGACUCUCUUAAAUAAGCGCAGAUAACUCGGUGACAGGUGACAGGAAAAGGUGUCCAGCAUUGCUUAUCACCUAAGAUGUCCAAGUCAGGACCUGAAGGCCAUCCCACCCAUACCCGUUAAGUGGGUUGUUAUCAGAAAGACAAGAAGUAGCCAAAACAGGGGCACUUGGGAUGACUCAGAAGGUAAAAGUGUUUGUCACCAAGUGUGACAAUUGGAGUUCAACCCUGGAACCCACAUAUAAGAGAGAACUGAUUCCCACAAGUUAUUCUCUGACCAUACAGACACCAUGGCCCAUGUGCCACUCCACACCAUGAACACUCAGAUAAACAAAAUUAAUGGUUAAUUAAUUAAAUGCAAUAAAAUUGCAAAUAUUGGUGAGAAUGUGGAAGAAAGGAAAUCGCUCUACACUAUGGCUAGAAAUGCAGAUUCAUACAGUGGAAAACACCAUGGAUGCUCCUCAGACAUUAAAAAUAGGAUUAGUGUAGAUCAAUCCCACCUCUGUAUACAUAUCCAAAGGAAAUGAAGUCAGUAGCGUGAAGCAAUGUCUGCAUCCCUGUAUUAUAGCAUCAUCACAUGAAGAGAUGGAAUAAACUUAAACAUCUGCCCAUCAAUGAAUGGGGAAAUUACAUGCACACACAUUCACACAUACACACAUAUGCACAUACAUACACGUGUCAUGUGUAACUUCCUCUAACACGGAAGGCAUAAUGUUAAGUUAAAGAAGCCAGAUGUAUAAAGAGAAAUACCACAUUAUUUCUUUUAAUGUGGAAUCUUGUUGAAUUCGCAAAACAGAGAGUAGAAGGAUGGUGCCAGGAUCUAGGGAGGGGGAAAAUAGGGAGAUGUCAGAGAGUCCAAACAUCUACCUACAAGGUGAAUACAUUUGGGGAUCUACUCUACAGUACGGCAACUGUAGUUAAUAUUGCGUUGUAGACUUUAAUGUGGUGAGUUUUUGGCACACCCACCACAUACACACAAAAGGAUAACUGUGAAGGGGUAGGUGUGUUAGCUUGAUUGCAUGGUAUCGUUCAUAGUAGGUAAGUAUGUCAAAUCCUUCUAUAUAUUUCUAAAAUAUAUUCUUUUUACUUUCCAAUGAUACCCCAAUUAGGUCAGGAUAUAUAUAUAUAUUUCUUACUCCAUAUAUAACUUCUUACUACAAGCAUUUUUACUUUGCUUUCUGAUGUCCUGUGUCUAGUCAUCCAGCUUGGCUUACUGAGUUCUGCCUAUCCAUGUUGGCCCACCUCAGGUCAGGGUGGGGACUCUGGGUCCUUAUCUGAGAUUUCUUCUAUCUUCUUUGGCUUUAUUGCUCUUCCAGUAAGCAGAUUUAUAGUUGAGGUACUGGGUAGAACACGAACCUCAAGCUGCUCACUCAUCUGCUUCAGUAGUGGGAGCUGCCAAGGGUUCAGGUCACUUUACCCCUCUGUAGACAUUAGCCCCAGCCAGUCCAGUUACCACAGCUAUCUAGCCAACUAGGUUCAGUGGCUUAUUUUUUGGUUCUGCAAGUCUCUAUUCAAGCCACCUUCCAAUCCCACCCCAUGGCAACAAUUCUCUCUUUAGUUCCUUGUGGGCACAGUACCUCAACUACAUCCAAGGGACAUCUCAUCUGUACGGUCCCCCAGUAACUCUAGUGAUACAUGAUUAAUAUUGGGGUUCAACCUGAAUAUCUACAAAGCAAAACAGACAGCCACUGACUCUUACUUCAACCUCAGUCAGAAAUAGAGAUCCUGCCUCCAGGAAUCUCAGAAUGAGACUAUGUCUGAGAGCUGUCUCCUCCUGUUUUAUAAUCAUCUCUAGUUCUGGGAUUAAAGGUGUGCACCCCUGGGAUUAAAGGGAUGUACCGCCUGGUUUCUAUGGCAACUAGUGUGGCUACUGGGAUUAAAGGUGUGUUACCACUGCCUGGUCUGCAAGGCUGACCAAUGAGGCUGUUUUACUCUCUGAUCUUCAGACCAACUUUAUUAAAAUACAAAUGAAAUGCCACUACACACUAGUCCCUGGUGACCACUCACUGUCCUUCGAGCCCUUUCUUCUCUUGGCUCUUAGAUACCUUACUCACACUUCCUCUGUGGCCUUGCUCCACCUGCCUACUGCACAGCAUUAAGUGUUGGCCCACCUUGUUUCCUCCAAGGCUACACAUUUCUGAUAAUCUCCAUGCCGUCUCGUGCCCGUCCUGACAUCAAGAAUCCCAUCCUGGCCCAUCCAGUCUAUCUAUGUCCUAGAGCACCAAAGCCCCCUCCCCUCAUCUCUUGAAUUUGGUCAUGUCUCUCCACCACCCAACAGGCCACUAUGCUUUCUCACCUGUUCUAGGUACAUCUAAUCUUGCUCAUUUGCCAAGUUCCUUCUAAGGGAGGUUUCCCUUUGCUGUUGUGGCAUCAGAUUACCAAAAGUGACCCCAUGGCUCCUUACUGUUCCCAGACGAAGAGAACUCCAGGCCCAGUAUGGCUGAGUCUUCACUAGUUGGCUCUUUCAGGUUCCCAGCAGCAGGACUCCCCUUUUCUAUCUUUGCCCCAGCCAUAAUAGGCAUCCUCCAGUCCUUACCUGUUCCCUCACACCCCAAGCCUUUGUAUUCCUCUUCCAACCUCACCUCCAAAAAGAGACCCCUGAUCUCCCAGGCCAGCUUUUUCCCCAUUGCCUACCUCCGCAGUACUAUAGACUUCCACGGUGAUACAGCUCUGCCUUCCUAUGAGACCCCUGAUCUCCUAGGCCAGCUUUUCCCCAUUGCCUACCUCCGCAGUACUAUAAACUUCCACGGUGAUACAGCUCUGGCUUCGUAUCAUUAGUUACUUUCUGUUCAUCAGGUCUUACUGAUUCUAAGAGCAACCACCAGGGUAUUAGGUCUCUUUUGCUCACUGUUCUUUCCCCAUUACAAAACCCAUGUGAUGUAGGAAGCUGGAAGCUAGUAAUUGCUGUAUGUGUAUAUGUAUGUAUGUAUGUAUGUAUGUGUCUGUAUGUAACACUGUUCUCACUUGCUGUGUGACUUUGGGAAAGUUACUUCACAUCUUCAUGCCCGAAUGCCUCAUGUGGGAGUGUCUGAAGAGUCCUGAGGAUGGUAGAACCAGGGCGAUGCUGGCAGGUCCAGCGCAAAAUACAGGGUAAGGACUCCUCAGCUAGCUCACUCACGCUGGGCACAUGAAACCCACCAUACAAAAGGUUCAGGGUAGUAGAAAGAAAUCAAACUGGGGUCAGAAAGACCCAGAGUCUGGCCCACUGCCCCUGCCUUUUAGUCCUUGGUCUUCAAAGUCUCGGUCUUUCCAUGGACCAGGAUAUGAAUGCUGGCCUCCAUGUUGGUACAGGCCUAGUAGGCUGGCUUUCUCUCUUGCCUGGGAAACUGUCUGUUCUUUAGAACCCUCACUGUAUUGCACAAGGCAGACUCCACACCCAGGUCUGCUGGACCAGUGCCAGGCCCCAGGUCUCCCCUAACUUGUCCAGUACCUAUCUCCCAGCCUGGCACAGACAGACCUGUCAGUCACAGUCCAGCAUGGACCGGGAAGGCAAUGGACCUGACAGGUGGGGUACCCCAAUGGGCCGUAUCAGGGAGCACCAGGAGAUGGCCUGUGAGUUCUGACUCCUGGCCAAGGGCUGGGGAAGGACUGCCAGUGCUGGCAGCUGCUGCCUUGGCUGCCUGCUGCCCUGAGCUAAUGAGUGGGGCAGAGCCAGCCUGGGAGGUCCAGGCCUGGCCUCGCUGAGCUGAGCUGAGGGUGAGAAACAGGUCAGGGUUAGUCAGUUAGUCAUAGGCAGGCGUGAGGCCCGACCCUGGUCCACACUGAGCCUGAUCUUGGUCACAGAUGGUCCCGACCCUUGUGACUACUUGGAAAGGACAUUGGAAGUAGACAGUAGAGGUCCCAGCAAGCAGAGAGUUAAGAACUGCAUGUUUAAGAUGAAUGCACCCAGAGAGUGUGUAGUUUUCAGGCCUCAUCUUACAGUUCAGGGUGUUUCUAGGAUCCUUGUGGUCUCACAGUAGAUGGGAGACCCAGCCUGUGCUCUGAACCUACCUGCCCUGCAUUGGCCAAUAAGUCACAGAGGGCAAGAAUCUGAGCAGAGAAGUUAGAAGUCCAGGAUGACUCAUAGGUGACCUCUGCCUCGGCUACUCUAGAGUUGAACUUAGCAAAACUAACACUAAUAGUGACCAUACUUGAGGGAGAGUCCCAGGAAGAAAGCAGACCUCAUGAGUAACUUUGUUCUAUUUUAAACACACCAACGAUCCAGUUCCCUAUACAUUCCUAACCACAGGGCCCUGGGGGGGAGGGGGAAGUGACAUUGUCCCUUCAAAGUAGCCAAGAAGGCUGAAGCCCUGAACAGUGAGGGACUGGGCUGAGGAGACAAUCAGGCUGUAGAGUGGAGCAGACAAAGGUACCAAUUCCCAUCUGACCUCUGACUCUAGAAGAGAUCAAGGCUCCUUGUCUCCCAGAAGGAGGCCCUGGGGAGAGAGACAAGGCUGGGGAGUAGAUCCUGGGUGGGCCCUGGGACUCCAUCAUCCUGCAAGGCCCCAGCCCUGUAGCUUACUUAAUUUCCUGCCCACACCUGCUCUCCAUAUGGUUUCACUUCCGAAACUCACAGCCUCCAAAUUUUUGUUCUGUAAGAACCUCCCUAUGUCCCAGGGCUGUAAACACAGCUGGUAGCAGUGGAUAAAGUAGGGCUGGCCUGGGACACCCCACCCCAGCCAGACUGUAGUUAGGAGCAUUCUUUCCAGAUGUUCCCCCACCGGCCCAGCACAAGGCCCCUGAGGUCUCCUUCUGCACUGAACAUUCAUUCAGCCCCUGACAGUAGGACUCUCUCCAGGACACCAGACUCCUGAGAAUCAGCCUGGAGGGCAAUGCUGCCCAACAGAAGCAAGCAUGCUUGAGGAAAGGGCAAGGAGCAGGGCAGGGAGAGCUCUUUCUGGAGUCCAUGGGUCACGGAUGCCUAGGCUCCACAGCUUCUUACUGAGCAUGUGCUGAAUGCCUACCGGGCUACUCCCUCCCCAGACACCGUAGACAGCUGGGAGUUUGGGCUUCCCUCUUAACUUUGUUAAGAGCUCCACCUGUCCUUGCCUCUUCCCUGUGUGUGACACUCUCCACCCAGCCACACAGCUUCCCUCAGAAGGGGCUUCACUAACAAUUCCAAAGUCCACCCCUUCAGGGCCAGACCUGUGACAUAAUCCUGAGGUCAUUGCUGUGUGAUGUCAUAUUGUGUAGCAGAGCCUGGCAAAGCCAAGGGCCCUGGCUCCCUCAGAGCACACCCCCACCGGAACAACCGCCUACUGAUUUCUGAUUUGGGGAAACUGGGGUUUGUCUCCACUGUGUUGAAAUCUAGAUUUCUGUGUGAAACCCAGAGUUUGCAAUGCAGGCCAAACUUGGUCAGCUAGAAUCUACAGCGGUCCCUUUAGAUUCCCCUGAUGUGGGAGUGAUUUCUUAUUAAUAAAGAAACUGCCUUGGCCCAUUUUAUUGGAUAGAAAAUUAGGUAGGCGGAGUAGACAGAGGAGAAUGCUGGGAAAAAGAAGCUGUGUGAGGAGUCGCCAUGGUUCUCCCGUUCCAGACAGACGCAGGUUAAGAUCCUCCCUGGUAAGCCAGCUCGUGGGCUACACAGAAUAUUAGAAAUGGGUUAGAACAAUAUGUAAGAGCUAGCCAAUAAGAAACUGGACCUAGCCGGCCAGGCAGUGUUUGAAAGAA